Acanthosepion pharaonis is the source of this 114-nucleotide non-coding RNA. Lineage: Eukaryota; Metazoa; Mollusca; Cephalopoda; Sepiida; Sepiidae. The record is from the annotation of a GenBank genome assembly.
UUGUGACCAUAUUACGUUAAAACAUCGGUUCCCGUAAGAUCACUGAAGUUAAGCAAAGUCGAAUCUGUUCUGUACCUAGAUGAGUGACCGCUUGGUAAUACCAGGUACUGUAAG